GAUGAACGCUGGCGGCGUGCCUAAUACAUGCAAGUCGAGCGAACGGACGAGAAGCUUGCUUCUCUGAUGUUAGCGGCGGACGGGUGAGUAACACGUGGAUAACCUACCUAUAAGACUGGGAUAACUUCGGGAAACCGGAGCUACUACAGGAUAAUAUUUUGAACCGCAUGGUUCAAAAGUGAAAGACGGUAUUGCUGUCACUUAUAGAUGGAUCCGCGCUGCAUUAGCUAGUUGGUAAGGUAACGGCUUACCAAGGCAACGAUGCAUAGCCGACCUGAGAGGAUGAUCGGCCACACUGGAACUGAGACACGGUCCAGACUCCUACGGGAGGCAGCAGUAGGGAAUCUUCCGCAAUGGGCGAAAGCCUGACGGAGCAACGCCGCGUGAGUGAUGAAGGUCUUCGGAUCGUAAAACUCUGUUAUUAGGGAAGAACAUAUGUGUAAGUAACUGUGCACAUCUUGACGGUACCUAAUCAGAAAGCCACGGCUAACUACGUG
RNAcentral lists this ribosomal RNA (497 nucleotides) under uncultured bacterium. RNAcentral describes it as "partial 16S ribosomal RNA". It matches the Rfam family "Bacterial small subunit ribosomal RNA", at positions 28 to 507 of the family's 1533-position model. The record is from RNAcentral.